GGCUCUUUGUAUCAAUAAGGAGUCAUACCUGCCCGGUGAAUGAUUAAACGGCCGCAGUACCCUGACUGUGCUAAGGUAGCAUAAUAAUUUGCCUUUUAAUUGGUGGCUUGUAUGAAUGGUUUGACGAAAGCAUAGCUGUCUCUAAUAUACUAUAUAUAAUUUAUUUUUUAGGUUAAAAUACCUAAAUUUAAUUAAGGGACGAGAAGACCCUAUUGAAUUUUAAAAAAAUAUAAGUAUAAAUCCUAUUUUUAAAAAUUGUUUAUUCAUGUAGAAUUUUGGUUGGGGCAACCGAGGAACAAUAGCAGCUUCCUUAUUAUAAUUAAAAUUACUUUUUUUGAUCCAGUAAAUAUUGAUAACAGGAACUAAUUACCAUAGGGAUAACAGCGUAAUUUCUCUCGAGAGGUCUUAUCGAAAGAGAAGCUUGCGACCUCGAUGUUGGAUUAGGAUGAUUCUAAAGGUUGCAGAAGCUUUUAUGAUUGGUCUGUUCGACCAUUAAAAUCCU
This 502-nucleotide ribosomal RNA is filed under the name Afrocyclus oxygala. Its description in RNAcentral is "partial 16S ribosomal RNA". It matches the Rfam family "Bacterial large subunit ribosomal RNA", at positions 1817 to 2597 of the family's 2925-position model. Lineage: Eukaryota; Metazoa; Mollusca; Gastropoda; Architaenioglossa; Cyclophoridae. The record is from RNAcentral.